AGUGAUAGGUGGUGGUGUCAGAGGUGCUAGCGGUGAUAGGUGGUGUUGGGUAAUCUGUGGAAAAUCUUGAGAAGGGGAAACUCAAAUGGUUCCAUUUCCAAAUAUGAAAAUGGAGAGAUGCAAGUAUGAGAUCAGAAUAGGGGAAACAUGAUAAAAGAGUAAAAUAGAGACUGAACUUGGUCGGUGUCUUGCAGUCGAUCUCCUCUGAAACUGGAGAUGUCUAGGACUUUCCGAAGGAGUUGCCGGAGCAUUGAAGUCGCUCGUUGUGGGUGGGGACGGUAGAUAUGAGAUGUACUGAAGAAGAAGAAGAAGAAAGGGAGGGUUAGACGAGUGAUUAAAUGUACCGGCCCAUUUUUUUUUUAAAUGAAAUAAUAUUUAUUUUGUAUAAUUAAAAAAUCAAUAUAUAAUUAAUAAAUAACAAGUAAAUAGAAAAUAAAUCAAAAAAUAAAUAAAUAAGGGUAAAAUGGUCUUUUUAUGUGCAGAGGGACUAAGCAAGCAAGAAAAAACAAAACAAGGGACGGUCCGAGUUAAUUUUUAAAAGUAGGGACUAAACACGCUUUCUGACAUAUGCACGAGGGACGAUCGGUGUAAUUUACCCUUAUUAUUAUUAUUAUUAUUAUUAUUAUUAUUAUUAUUAUUAUUAUUAUUAUUUUCUUAAAUGAAUUAUUUUCAAUGAUUCAUUUCACUUGUGUAAAAAG
This 698-nucleotide long non-coding RNA is filed under the name Lactuca sativa (garden lettuce). RNAcentral describes it as "long non-coding RNA (LSAT_LNC000558)". Lineage: Eukaryota; Viridiplantae; Streptophyta; Magnoliopsida; Asterales; Asteraceae. The record is from RNAcentral.